AGACCCGAAACCCGGUGAUCUAGCCAUGGGCAGGUUGAAGGUUGGGUAACACUAACUGGAGGACCGAACCGACUAAUGUUGAAAAAUUAGCGGAUGACCUGUGGCUGGGGGUGAAAGGCCAAUCAAACCGGGAGAUAGCUGGUUCUCCCCGAAAGCUAUUUAGGUAGCGCCUCGUGAAUUCAUCUCCGGGGGUAGAGCACUGUUUCGGCUAGGGGGCCAUCCCGGCUUACCAACCCGAUGCAAACUGCGAAUACCGGAGAAUGUUAUCACGGGAGACACACGGCGGGUGCUAACGUCCGUCGUGAAGAGGGAAACAACCCAGACCGCCAGCUAAGGUCCCAAAGUCAUGGUUAAGUGGGAAACGAUGUGGGAAGGCCCAGACAGCCAGGAUGUUGGCUUAGAAGCAGCCAUCAUUUAAAGAAAGCGUAAUAGCUCACUGGUCGAGUCGGCCUGCGCGGAAGAUGUAACGGGGCUAAACCAUGCACCGAAGCUGCGGCAGCGAACGUAUCACCCAAGACAACUUUACGGAGUUGACGAUUGACGGAGCGAAGCGACGUCAAAGCGUUCAUUAAAGUCGAGUUGGCUUAGGGAUACGUUCGUUGGGUAGGGGAGCGUUCUGUAAGCCUGUGAAGGUGUGUCGUGAGGCAUGCUGGAGGUAUCAGAAGUGCGAAUGCUGACAUAAGUAACGAUAAAGCGGGUGAAAAGCCCGCUCGCCGGAAGACCAAGGGUUCCUGUCCAACGUUAAUCGGGGCAGGGUGAGUCGACCCCUAAGGCGAGGCCGAAAGGCGUAGUCGAUGGGAAACGGGUUAAUAUUCCCGUACUUGGUGUUACUGCGAAGGGGGGACGGAGAAGGCUAUGUUGGCCGGGCGACGGU
Molecule: ribosomal RNA, 874 nt
Filed under: Salmonella enterica
Lineage: Bacteria; Pseudomonadati; Pseudomonadota; Gammaproteobacteria; Enterobacterales; Enterobacteriaceae
Also listed under: 1 other name
Description: partial 23S ribosomal RNA
Rfam family: Bacterial large subunit ribosomal RNA
Source: RNAcentral